This 1000-nucleotide long non-coding RNA is filed under the name Sinocyclocheilus anshuiensis. RNAcentral describes it as "lncRNA (ENSSANG00000045067.1)". Lineage: Eukaryota; Metazoa; Chordata; Actinopteri; Cypriniformes; Cyprinidae. The record is from RNAcentral.
GUUUAUUUAUUUAUUUGCUUAUUUCAUUCAUGCAUUCAUUCAUUUUUAUUAUUUUCGUUUGUUUUGCUCACAUUUCAUACAAUUUCCCAGCAGCACUCCGAAGUACAAGCCUUUAAUUUUCUUGUUUCUUAAGGAUUCAUCUUCAUCAUCAAAUAGCUCUUCAUCAUCAUCAUCUGACAGUGAGGAUGACAAAAAGAAGAAGAAGAAGAAGAAGAAGAAGAAGAAGAAGAAGAAGAAGAAGAAAGUAAAAGUCAGAAUGAUUGAUGAUGAUGAUAUAUGUAAUACAAUAUAUAUACAUAUAUGAAAUUUCCAUAUGUGAAAAUAAUUUGAGGUAAAAUCAUAUGAGGUAAAAACGUGUAUGAAACCUAUUAGAAAGUGGAACUUCAUAUAUUUACAUAUAUAUAUAUAUCUAGCCCAAACAAAUAUGCAUGUUUGUGAUUCGUCUUCAUCAUCAAGUAGCUCCUCGUCUUCUUCUGACAGCGAUGACGAGAAGAAGAAAAAGAAAAAAAAGAAGAAGCAUAAGAAAAAGGAGUCCAGCUCCUCUUCCUCAUCCUCUUCCUCCGACAGCGAUGAUAAGAAGAAGAAGAAGAAGAAAAGUGAGAAAGACAAGAAAAAGAAGAAAGACAAGAAGAAGAAAGAUGAGAAGAGUAAAAAGGUGAUGUUCAGUUUCCUCCAUUCAAACCUGCAAUACUGGUUUAACAGCUGGUUAACCUGCAUUGCUGCUGGUUAGUGAAGAACUGGCUUUCUAAAGCAAGUCAUUAAGAACAAAGCGAUUUUUCAGUGUUGUUUUAGGGUCGUUGAGAUGCUUCUAUGGUUGUUAUUAAUAUUUUGAAUUAGUUUUUAUAUUUGUAUUUUCAUUUUAAUUUUAAAGUUUUUGCAUUUUUAUUAGUUUUUUUUUAUGUCUAUAUAAUUUCUUAUAUAAUUCCUAUAUAUUUUGUAUUUGUGAGCCUGGAGCACAAAAGCAGUCUUAAGUCGCUGGGGUAUAUUUGUAGCAAUAGCC